RNAcentral lists this transfer RNA (68 nucleotides) under Arapaima gigas (arapaima). Its description in RNAcentral is "tRNA-Glu". It matches the Rfam family "tRNA". Rfam says of the family: Transfer RNA (tRNA) molecules are approximately 80 nucleotides in length. Their secondary structure includes four short double-helical elements and three loops (D, anti-codon, and T loops). The record is from RNAcentral. Lineage: Eukaryota; Metazoa; Chordata; Actinopteri; Osteoglossiformes; Osteoglossidae.
GAUUUUGUAGUUGAAUACAACGGCGGUUUUUCGUGCCGUAGGUCCUGGUUAGAGUCCAGGCAAAAUUA